GACUGAUGGGAGCUUGCUCCCUGAUGUUAGCGGCGGACGGGUGAGUAACACGUGGGCAACCUGCCUGUAAGACUGGGAUAACUCCGGGAAACCGGGGCUAAUACCGGAUAACCCGUUCCACCUCAUGGUGGAGCGGUAAAAGAUGGCCUCUGGCUAUCACUUACAGAUGGGCCCGCGGCGCAUUAGCUAGUUGGUAAGGUAACGGCUUACCAAGGCGACGAUGCGUAGCCGACCUGAGAGGGUGAUCGGCCACACUGGGACUGAGACACGGCCCAGACUCCUACGGGAGGCAGCAGUAGGGAAUCUUCCGCAAUGGACGAAAGUCUGACGGAGCAACGCCGCGUGAGUGAUGAAGGUUUUCGGAUCGUAAAGCUCUGUUGUUAGGGAAGAACAAGUGCCGUUUGAAUAAGGCGGCACCUUGACGGUACCUAACCAGAAAGCCACGGCUAACUACGUGCCAGCCCCCCCGG
This 470-nucleotide ribosomal RNA is filed under the name Alkalihalophilus pseudofirmus. RNAcentral's name for it is "bacterial SSU rRNA". It matches the Rfam family "Bacterial small subunit ribosomal RNA", at positions 68 to 520 of the family's 1533-position model. Lineage: Bacteria; Bacillati; Bacillota; Bacilli; Caryophanales; Bacillaceae. The record is from RNAcentral.